GUGCUCACUUUGGCAGCACAUAUACUAAAAUUAGAAUGAUACGGAGAAGAUUAGCAUGGCCCCAGCGCAAGGAUGACAUACACAUUUAUUGUUGAGCAUUCCCUGAGUUU
Heterocephalus glaber (naked mole-rat) is the source of this 110-nucleotide small nuclear RNA. NCBI's taxonomy places the organism in Eukaryota, Metazoa, Chordata, Mammalia, Rodentia, Bathyergidae. The record is from Ensembl.